RNAcentral lists this ribosomal RNA (402 nucleotides) under uncultured bacterium. Its description in RNAcentral is "bacterial SSU rRNA". It matches the Rfam family "Bacterial small subunit ribosomal RNA", at positions 355 to 774 of the family's 1533-position model. The record is from RNAcentral.
UGGGGAAUAUUGGACAAUGGGGGCAACCCUGAUCCAGCAAUACCGCGUGAGUGAAGAAGGCCUUCGGGUUGUAAAGCUCUUUUACCGGGGAAGAUAAUGACGGUACCCGGGGAAUAAGCACCGGCUAACUUCGUGCCAGCAGCCGCGGUAAUACGAAGGGUGCAAGCGUUAAUCGGAAUUACUGGGCGUAAAGCGCGCGUAGGUGGUUUGGUAAGAUGGAUGUGAAAUCCCCGGGCUCAACCUGGGAACUGCAUCCAUAACUGCCUGACUAGAGUACGGUAGAGGGUGGUGGAAUUUCCUGUGUAGCGGUGAAAUGCGUAGAUAUAGGAAGGAACACCAGUGGCGAAGGCGACCACCUGGACUGAUACUGACACUGAGGUGCGAAAGCGUGGGGAGCAAACA